UCGAGCGGUAACAGCAAAGUAGCUUGCUACUUUGCUGACGAGCGGCGGACGGGUGAGUAAUGCUUGGGAACAUGCCUUGAGGUGGGGGACAACAGUUGGAAACGACUGCUAAUACCGCAUAAUGUCUACGGACCAAAGGGGGCUUCGGCUCUCGCCUUUAGAUUGGCCCAAGUGGGAUUAGCUAGUUGGUGAGGUAAUGGCUCACCAAGGCAACGAUCCCUAGCUGGUUUGAGAGGAUGAUCAGCCACACUGGAACUGAGACACGGUCCAGACUCCUACGGGAGGCAGCAGUGGGGAAUAUUGCACAAUGGGCGAAAGCCUGAUGCAGCCAUGCCGCGUGUGUGAAGAAGGCCUUCGGGUUGUAAAGCACUUUCAGUCAGGAGGAAAGGGUGUGAGUUAAUACCUCACAUCUGUGACGUUACUGACAGAAGAAGCACCGGCUAACUCCGUGCCAGCAGCCGCGGUAAUACGGAGGGUGCGAGCGUUAAUCGGAAUUACUGGGCGUAAAGCGUACGCAGGCGGUUUGUUAAGCGAGAUGUGAAAGCCCCGGGCUCAACCUGGGAACUGCAUUUCGAACUGGCAAACUAGAGUGUGAUAGAGGGUGGUAGAAUUUCAGGUGUAGCGGUGAAAUGCGUAGAGAUCUGAAGGAAUACCGAUGGCGAAGGCAGCCACCUGGGUCAACACUGACGCUCAUGUACGAAAGCGUGGGGAGCAAACGGGAUUAGAUACCCCGGUAGUCCACGCCGUAAACGAUGUCUACUAGAAGCUCGGAACCUCGGUUCUG
Molecule: ribosomal RNA, 784 nt
Filed under: Pseudoalteromonas carrageenovora
Lineage: Bacteria; Pseudomonadati; Pseudomonadota; Gammaproteobacteria; Alteromonadales; Pseudoalteromonadaceae
Description: bacterial SSU rRNA
Rfam family: Bacterial small subunit ribosomal RNA
Source: RNAcentral